This 1377-nucleotide ribosomal RNA is filed under the name uncultured bacterium. RNAcentral describes it as "16S ribosomal RNA". It matches the Rfam family "Bacterial small subunit ribosomal RNA", at positions 30 to 1393 of the family's 1533-position model. The record is from RNAcentral.
UGAACGCUGGCGGUAUGCUUAACACAUGCAAGUCGAACGGAAACGAUACUAGCUUGCUAGUAGACGUCGAGUGGCGGACGGGUGAGUAACGCGUAGGAAUCUGCCUGAUAGUGGGGGAUAGCCCGAAGAAAUUCGGAUUAAUACCGCAUAAUCUAUUCGUAGUAAAGUGGGGGACUUUCGAGCCUCACGCUAUCAGAUGAGCCUGCGUAAGAUUAGCUAGUUGGUAGGGUAAAAGCCUACCAAGGCAACGAUCUUUAGCUGGUCUGAGAGGAUGAUUAGCCACAUCGGGACUGAGACACGGCCCGAACUCCUACGGGAGGCAGCAGUGGGGAAUAUUGGACAAUGGGGGCAACCCUGAUCCAGCAAUACCGCGUGUGUGAAGAAGGCCUGAGGGUUGUAAAGCACUUUCAAUUGAGAAGAAAAGUUAACGGUUAAUAACCGUUAGCCUUGACGUUAACUUUAGAAGAAGCACCGGCUAACUCCGUGCCAGCAGCCGUGGUAAUACGGAGGGUGCAAGCGUUAAUCGGAAUUACUGGGCGUAAAGCGUGCGUAGGCGGUUUAUUAAGUCAGAUGUGAAAGCCCCGGGCUUAACCUGGGAACUGCAUUUGAAACUGGUCAACUAGAGUAUGGUAGAGGAAAGUGGAAUUUCUGGUGUAGCGGUGAAAUGCGUAGAUAUCAGAAGGAACAUCAAUGGCGAAGGCAGCUUUCUGGACCAUACUGACGCUGAAGGUACGAAAGCGUGGGUAGCAAACAGGAUUAGAUCCCCUGGUAGUCCACCGCCGUAAAACGGAUGAUAACUAGCCGUUGGAGGGAUUUACCCUUUAGUGGCGAAGCUAACGCGUUAAGUUAUUCCCGCCUGGGGAGUACGGCCGCAAGGUUAAAACUCAAAGGAAUUGACGGGGACCCGCACAAGCGGUGGAGCAUGUGGUUUAAUUCGAUGCAACGCGAAGAACCUUACCUGGUCUUGACAUCCUGCGAACUUUCUAGAAAUAGAUUGGUGCCUUCGGGAACGCAGUGACAGGUGCUGCAUGGCUGUCGUCAGCUCGUGUCGUGAGAUGUUGGGUUAAGUCCCGUAACGAGCGCAACCCCUAUCCUUAUUUGCCAGCACGUCAUGGUGGGAACUAUAAGGAGACUGCCGGUGAUAAACCGGAGGAAGGCGGGGACGACGUCAAGUCAUCAUGGCCCUUACGACCAGGGCUACACACGUGCUACAAUGGGAAGGACAAAGAGCCGCGAAGCCGCGAGGUGUAGCUAAUCUCAGAAACCUUUUCGUAGUCCGGAUUGGAGUCUGCAACUCGACUCCAUGAAGUCGGAAUCGCUAGUAAUCGUAGAUCAGAAUGCUACGGUGAAUACGUUCCCGGGUCUUGUACUCACCGC